CAGCAGCCACGGUAAUACGUAGGUGGCAAGCGUUGUCCGGAAUUAUUGGGCGUAAAGGGCUCGCAGGCGGUUUCUUAAGUCUGAUGUGAAAGCCCCCGGCUCAACCGGGGAGGGCCAUUGGAAACUGGGAGACUUGAGUGCAGAAGAGGAGAGUGGAAUUCCACGUGUAGCGGUGAAAUGCGUAGAGAUGUGGAGGAACACCAGUGGCGAAGGCGACUCUCUGGUCUGUAACUGACGCUGAGGAGCGAAAGCGUGGGGAGCGAACAGGAUUAGAUACCCCUGUAGUCCCUGUCUCUUAUAU
Molecule: ribosomal RNA, 301 nt
Filed under: uncultured bacterium
Lineage: Bacteria
Description: partial 16S ribosomal RNA
Rfam family: Bacterial small subunit ribosomal RNA
Source: RNAcentral